AUACGUAGGGUGCAAGCGUUAAUCGGAAUUACUGGGCGUAAAGCGUGCGCAGGCGGUUUUGUAAGACAGAGGUGAAAUCCCCGGGCUCAACCUGGGAACUGCCUUUGUGACUGCAAGGCUAGAGUACGGCAGAGGGGGGUGGAAUUCCGCGUGUAGCAGUGAAAUGCGUAUAUAUGCGGAGGAACACCGAUGGCGAAGGCAAUCCCCUGGGCCUGUACUGACGCGCAUGCACGAAAGCGUGGGGAGCAAACAGGAUUAGAUACCCUGGUAGUCCACGCCCUAAACGAUGUCAACUGGUUGUUGGGUCUUCAUUGACUCAGUAACGCAGCUAACGCGUGAAGUUGACCGCCUGGGGAGUACGGCCGCAAGGUUGAAACUCAAAUGAAUUGACGGGG
Molecule: ribosomal RNA, 395 nt
Filed under: uncultured bacterium
Lineage: Bacteria
Description: partial 16S ribosomal RNA
Rfam family: Bacterial small subunit ribosomal RNA
Source: RNAcentral